ACGGAAGGCAGCAGUGGGGAAUAUUGCACAAUGGGGGAAACCCUGAUGCAGCGACGCCGCGUGAGUGAUGAAGUAUUUCGGUACGUAAAGCUCUAUCAGCAGGAAAGAUAAUGACGGUACCUGACUAAGAAGCCCCGGCUGACUACGUGCCAGCAGCCGCGGUAAUACGUAGGGGCAAGCGCUAUCCGGAUUUACUGGGUGUAAAGGGAGUGUAGGUGGCGUGGCAAGUCAGAUGUGAAAGCCCGCGGCUCAACCGCGGGACUGCAUUUGAAACUGUCAUGCUAGAGUGCAGGAGAGGAAAGUGGAAUUCCUAGUGUAGCGGUGAAAUGCGUAGAUAUUAGGAGGAACACCAGUGGCGAAGGCGGCUUUCUGGACUGUUACUGACACUGAGGCUCGAAAGCGUGGGGAGCAAACAGGAUUAGAUACCCUGGUA
This 433-nucleotide ribosomal RNA is filed under the name uncultured Lachnospiraceae bacterium. RNAcentral's name for it is "partial 16S ribosomal RNA". It matches the Rfam family "Bacterial small subunit ribosomal RNA", at positions 341 to 792 of the family's 1533-position model. The record is from RNAcentral. Lineage: Bacteria; Bacillati; Bacillota; Clostridia; Lachnospirales; Lachnospiraceae.